Molecule: ribosomal RNA, 65 nt
Filed under: Alnus nepalensis
Lineage: Eukaryota; Viridiplantae; Streptophyta; Magnoliopsida; Fagales; Betulaceae
Description: 25S ribosomal RNA
Source: RNAcentral
UCCAACGCGACCCCAGGUCAGGCGGGACUACCCGCUGAGUUUAAGAACAUCGUAACAAGGUUUCC